ACGUAGGGUGCGAGCGUUAAUCGGAAUUACUGGGCGUAAAGCGUGCGUAGGCGGCAGGGUAAGUUAGAUGUGAAAUACCGGGGCUUAACCUCGGAAUUGCAUUUAAGACUGCCUUGCUUGAGCAUUAGAGAGGAGACUGGAAUUUACGGUGUAGCAGUGAAAUGCGUAGAUAUCGUAAGGAAGACCAGUGGCGAAAGCGAGUCUCUGGCUAAAUGCUGACGCUGAGGCACGAAAGCUGGGGGAGCAAACGGGA
This 253-nucleotide ribosomal RNA is filed under the name uncultured prokaryote. Its description in RNAcentral is "partial 16S ribosomal RNA". It matches the Rfam family "Bacterial small subunit ribosomal RNA", at positions 525 to 777 of the family's 1533-position model. The record is from RNAcentral.